RNAcentral lists this long non-coding RNA (1129 nucleotides) under Callithrix jacchus (white-tufted-ear marmoset). Its description in RNAcentral is "lncRNA (ENSCJAG00000070628.1)". Lineage: Eukaryota; Metazoa; Chordata; Mammalia; Primates; Cebidae. The record is from RNAcentral.
GUCAAACAUUAAUAAAAAGUGACACAUACAUAGAAUGUACAAAGAAUUUUCGUUAGUCUUCAUCAAUUCGAUUUAUGUUAAUGUGUGAAAUGUUUAAAAGAAUCUAGCAUAUCAUCUUAGCCUUCAUUUACUUAAAUAUAACUCGUGGGUACACACCAACUCACAGCACUAAUUGGCAAAACUAUCAGUAAAAUAUAGUGUUAAAAAUUGUACUUUGGAAUUCAGAUAGAUCUACGUUCAAAUUUUAGUUUUUCCUUAUAUAGGGUGGUUAGUUUCUACAAGUCAUACAUCUUUUUCUUUUGCUGGAAUGGGGGUAUGCUUUGUCUCUCUCUCUCUCUCUCUCUCUCUCUCUCUCUCUUCAAAUUUUUUACUGUCACUUGAAAGCAGGACACUAAUAUGUACCUAGUAGAAUUAUUGUGAGGACUAGAAUUAAUUAAUAUUUAUUAUGUGCUUACCAUGUCUCCUGACACAUAAUAAGUGAUCUAUCAGUGCCAUAUAUAUCUUAUAAAGUAGAUAUUUGAUUUUUACUAUGUUAGUCUGGCUUUGUGGACCACCAAAUAAAAGAGGAUGAAUCAUUUACUCAAUCCUUUUGGUGAUGAAGAUGUAUUUUUAAAUUUGCUUUAUUUUAUUUUUUAGAGAUGAAGUCUUGCUUUGUCGCCCAGGCUGGAGUGCCAGUAGUGUGAUUGUGGUUCACUGUAGCCUCCGCCUCCCGGGUUCCAGAGAUUCUCCUGCCUCAGCCUCCCAGGAAUAAGUCCACUCCGAAAAAAAAAUUAAAUGCUAAUGAAGGCAACUUGUGAACGAUAAUGUGCAAAGUUGCUGAGAAGCCAAAGGUCAAGAGGCUGCAUCUGUUAAGAGCCUUCUUGCUGGUGGAGACUUUGAAGAGUCCCAAGACGGCACAAGUUACCACAUAGAGAAGAGGCUGAGCAUGCUAGCUCAGGUCUCUCCUCUACUUUUAAUAAAGCCACCGAUACUACUCCAAUGAUAACCCAUCAACCCAUUAAUUCAUUAAUGUAAUACAUUAAUGAAUUAAUGGACAAAUCCAUCCAUGAAAGCAGUCUUCAUGAUCCAGUCACAUCUUAGCAGCCCCAUGCUCAGUCAGUACUUCUACAGUGGGGUUUCAAUUUCAGUA